Molecule: ribosomal RNA, 468 nt
Filed under: uncultured bacterium
Lineage: Bacteria
Description: partial 16S ribosomal RNA
Rfam family: Bacterial small subunit ribosomal RNA
Source: RNAcentral
GACGAACGCUGGCGGCGUGCUUAACACAUGCAAGUCGAACGGAAAGGCCCUGCUUUUGUGGGGUGCUCGAGUGGCGAACGGGUGAGUAACACGUGAGUAACCUGCCCUUGACUUUGGGAUAACUUCAGGAAACUGGGGCUAAUACCGGAUAGGAGCUCCUGCUGCAUGGUGGGGGUUGGAAAGUUUCGGCGGUUGGGGAUGGACUCGCGGCUUAUCAGCUUGUUGGUGGGGUAGUGGCUUACCAAGGCUUUGACGGGUAGCAGGCCUGAGAGGGUGACCGGCCACAUGGGGGCUGAGAUACGGACCAGACUCCUACGGGAGGCAGCAGUGGGGAAUAUUGCACAAUGGGCGGAAGCCUGAUGCAGAAACGCCGCGUGCGGGAUGACGGCGUUCGGGUUGUAAACCGCUUUCGCCUGUGACGAAGCGUGAGUGACGGUAAUGGGUAAAGAAGCACCGGCUAACUACGUG